GUCGAGAAUCUUCCGCAAUGGGCGCAAGCCUGACGGAGCGAUGCCGCGUGAGGGAAGAAGGCCUUCGGGUUGUAAACCUCUGUCACCCGGGACGAAAUCAAUGACGGUACCGGGAGAGGAAGUCACGGCUAACUACGUGCCAGCAGCCGCGGUAACACGUAGGUGGCGAGCGUUAUUCGGAUUCACUGGGCGUAAAGGGUCCGCAGGGGGCCUGCCAAGUCUGUCGUGAAAACCCGGGGCUCAACCCCGGGCCUGCGGUGGAAACAGGCGGGCUGGAGUGUGUGAGGGGCAGACGGAACACCUGGUGUAGCGGUGGAAUGCGUGGAUAUCAUGUGGAACACCGAUGGCGAAGGCGGUCUGCUGGCACACAACUGACCCUCAGGGACGAAAGCGUGGGUAGCAAACAGGAUUAGAAACCCUGGUAGUCC
RNAcentral lists this ribosomal RNA (428 nucleotides) under uncultured bacterium. RNAcentral describes it as "partial 16S ribosomal RNA". It matches the Rfam family "Bacterial small subunit ribosomal RNA", at positions 354 to 796 of the family's 1533-position model. The record is from RNAcentral.